Molecule: ribosomal RNA, 370 nt
Filed under: uncultured organism
Description: bacterial SSU rRNA
Rfam family: Bacterial small subunit ribosomal RNA
Source: RNAcentral
CGUAGGGUGCAAGCGUUAAUCGGAAUUACUGGGCGUAAAGCGUGCGCAGGCGGUAAUGUAAGACAGUUGUGAAAUCCCCGGGCUCAACCUGGGAACUGCAUCUGUGACUGCAUUGCUGGAGUACGGCAGAGGGGGAUGGAAUUCCGCGUGUAGCAGUGAAAUGCGCAGAUAUGCGGAGGAACACCGAUGGCGAAGGCAAUCCCCUGGGCCUGUACUGACGCUCAUGCACGAAAGCGUGGGGAGCAAACAGGAUUAGAUACCCUGGUAGUCCACGCCCUAAACGAUGUCAACUGGUUGUUGGGUCUUCACUGACUCAGUAACGAAGCUAACGCGUGAAGUUGACCGCCUGGGGAGUACGGCCGCAAGGUUG